RNAcentral lists this ribosomal RNA (301 nucleotides) under uncultured bacterium. RNAcentral describes it as "partial 16S ribosomal RNA". It matches the Rfam family "Bacterial small subunit ribosomal RNA", at positions 509 to 809 of the family's 1533-position model. The record is from RNAcentral.
CAGCCGCCACGGGAAUACGUAGGUGGCAAGCGCUGUCCGGAAUUAUUGGGCGUAAAGCGCGCGCAGGCGGAUAGGUCAGUCUGUCUUAAAAGUUCGGGGCUUAACCCCGUGAUGGGAUGGAAACUGCCAAUCUAGAGUAUCGGAGAGGAAAGUGGAAUUCCUAGUGUAGCGGUGAAAUGCGUAGAUAUUAGGAAGAACACCAGUGGCGAAGGCGACUUUCUGGACGAAAACUGACGCUGAGGCGCGAAAGCCAGGGGAGCGAACGGGAUUAGAUACCCCGGUAGUCCCUGUCUCUUAUACA